GCUGGGCGUGGUGGCGGGCGCCUGUAAUCCCAGCUACUCGGGAGGCCGAGGCAGGAGAAUCGCUUGAACCUGGGAGGCGGAGGUUGCAGUGAGCCGAGAAUACGCCACUGCACUCCAGCCCGGGUGACAGAGCAAGACCCUGUCUCAA
Molecule: unclassified non-coding RNA, 148 nt
Organism: Pongo abelii (Sumatran orangutan)
Lineage: Eukaryota; Metazoa; Chordata; Mammalia; Primates; Hominidae
Rfam family: Metazoan signal recognition particle RNA
About the family: The signal recognition particle (SRP) is a universally conserved ribonucleoprotein. It is involved in the co-translational targeting of proteins to membranes. The eukaryotic SRP consists of a 300-nucleotide 7S RNA and six proteins: SRPs 72, 68, 54, 19, 14, and 9.
Source: Ensembl